CUACGGGAGGCUGCAGUGGGGAAUAUUGGACAAUGGGGGAAACCCUGAUCCAGCAAUGCCGCGUGUGUGAAGAAGGCCUGCGGGUUGUAAAGCACUUUCGGUUGGGAGGACUGCUUCUAGCACUAAUAUUGUUGGAAGUUGACGUCACCUUCAGAAGAAGCACCGGCUAACUCCGUGCCAGCAGCCGCGGUAAUACGGAGGUGCAAGCGUUAAUCGGAAUUACUGGGCGUAAAGCGCGCGUAGGCGGCUAGAUCAGUCGGGUGUGAAAGCCCCGGGCUUAACCUGGGAACUGCAUCCGAUACUGUCUAGCUUGAGUACAGGAGAGGAGAGUGGAAUUCCACAUGUAGCGGUGAAAUGCGUAGAUAUGUGGAGGAACACCAAUGGCGAAGGCAGCUCUCUGGCCUGAUACUGACGCUGAGGUGCGAAAGCGUGGGGAGCAAACAGGAUUAGAUACCCUAGUAGUC
RNAcentral lists this ribosomal RNA (464 nucleotides) under uncultured bacterium. RNAcentral's name for it is "partial 16S ribosomal RNA". It matches the Rfam family "Bacterial small subunit ribosomal RNA", at positions 339 to 795 of the family's 1533-position model. The record is from RNAcentral.